RNAcentral lists this ribosomal RNA (253 nucleotides) under uncultured bacterium. Its description in RNAcentral is "partial 16S ribosomal RNA". It matches the Rfam family "Bacterial small subunit ribosomal RNA", at positions 524 to 776 of the family's 1533-position model. The record is from RNAcentral.
UACUGAGGAUCCAAGCGUUAUCCGGAUUUAUUGGGUUUAAAGGGUGCGUAGGCGGCCUAUUAAGUCAGGGGUGAAAGACGGUGGCUCAACCAUCGCAGUGCCCUUGAUACUGAUGGGCUUGAUUACACUUGAGGUAGGCGGAAUGUGACAAGUAGCGGUGAAAUGCAUAGAUAUGUCACAGAACACCAAUUGCGAAGGCAGCUUACUAAGAUGUUAAUGACGCUGAGGCACGAAAGCGUGGGGAUCAAACAGG